This 335-nucleotide unclassified non-coding RNA is filed under the name soil metagenome. RNAcentral describes it as "partial contains 5.8S ribosomal RNA, internal transcribed spacer 2, and large subunit ribosomal RNA". The stretch from base 1 to 120 matches the Rfam family "5.8S ribosomal RNA", at positions 35 to 154 of the family's 154-position model. The record is from RNAcentral.
GAUGAAGAACGUAGCGAAAUGCGAUAAGUAAUGUGAAUUGCAGAAUUCAGUGAAUCAUCGAAUCUUUGAACGCACAUUGCGCCCGCCAGUAUUCUGGCGGGCAUGCCUGUUCGAGCGUCAUUUCAACCAUCAAGCCCCCGGCUUGUGUUGGGGACCUGCGGCUGCCGCAGGCCCUGAAAACCAGUGGCGGGCUCGGUAGUCACUCCGAGCGUAGUAAUACAUCUCGCUCAGGGCGUGCUGCGGGUUCCGGCCGUUAAAAAGCCUUAUUUACCCAAGGUUGACCUCGGAUCAGGUAGGAAGACCCGCUGAACUUAAGCAUAUCAAUAAGCGGAGGA